Molecule: long non-coding RNA, 2818 nt
Organism: Patiria miniata (bat star)
Lineage: Eukaryota; Metazoa; Echinodermata; Asteroidea; Valvatida; Asterinidae
Exons: 5
Source: RefSeq, a predicted model, not a curated record
UUGUAUGUAUAGGUGUUGAAGUCAAAGACUUGCUUUCCAAAAUGCAACAUAGCCAUUUGUAGACAAUUCAACAUUGUGCAUAAUAAAAUAUACAUGUAUGAUCAAGUACCGGUAGCUUUUUUUUGAUAAAAUCAAUCAGUUUGUUUUUAUAAUACGUUUAGCUGCCUCAUUGUUAUGGCCUAAUUUCAUCCUCAUUAUCAGGUGAAAUCCAUUGUUUCAAAUUGUAUACUACCUCAAUCUGCUGAAAUGUUCUUUUUGUGGCAUUUGUUCAUGGAGGGUUAAUCACUGGCUAAAUCUUGCAAAAUGCAAGAGUGACAAGUUAUGCAAACUGUAGCAUCAAGAAUUAUAUACAUGCCUUAAAUUUUUAGAUGUAAUUUGAGGUAAUGACAAAUUGUAAUACAUGAACUUGAAUUGGUUGUCAUCGGCGAUACUGAUCAAUUAGAGAAAUGAAGGUACUUGUGUUGAACUAAUUACUACAGUUUCAAUGAUUAGGGUAAUUUGUUUUUUGUCAAGGUUGUCUUUCAAACAGAAAUCGUGUGCAAUAUCCAAGGUAAUUUUAAAUACUCAUGCAAGUAUGAUGCAUUUGUUUUUGUAGGUAAAGUUCAUCUCUGACGAUUAUACUGAAGAGAUGUACAUAACGCAGAAGAUGCAGUGAGUUUAUUGAUGGUUUCUGUGCUUGGCCAAGUUACAGUGCCGUCAUCCAGCCUUCAAGCAUGGUUCAGAAGCCAUGAACCACAAAUCAGCAUGUUUCCUUCCAGUUUCCAAUGAGCACUCUGACAGCAUCACUUAGCAUGCCAGUAUUCAACAUUGUGCAGAUCAUCUCUGUAAAGAUGGCUGUGUUGCUUCAGUUGCCACAUCUCUACGUAUGUUCUUCCUGUUAGCAAAGGCACACUGUGACAGCAUAUACUUUCUACAUGCUAAUACAUGCACAGUAUUGUUCAGGGAAAGACAUAUGCAAACCUAUCAGCUUCCAAAGUCGGCAACAUCCUGCUGUCACUACAGUCUCAGCACCUACCAGCUCCCACUCUGUCAGCAACAUCCUGCUGUCACAUGUCCAGCUACUGGUACUUGAAGUUACUGUGUGCUUGUACAUUCUCAGCACCUACUAGCUCUCACUCUGUCAGCAACAUCCUGCUGUCACAUGUCCAGCUAUUGGUACUCGGAGUUACUAUUUGCUUGUACUUUCUCAGCACCUACCAGCUCCCACUCUGUCAGCAACAUCCUGUCCAGCUACCGGCACUUGGAGUUAUUGUGUGCUUGUACAUUCUCAGCACCUACUAGUUCCCACUCUGUCAGCAACAUCCUGCUGUCACACCUCCAGAUAUGUGGAGUUAUUGUGCUUUUACAGUCUCAGCCAGUAUUGGAUUGCAAGUUGUCUUAUGCUGCUACAACCUACACAUUUAGCAUUCUCUUGAACCUUGAGGAACCACCAUAUGAACAAAGAGACUCUGAAACACUCAUAAUAAACCUGUCACGGUGGUUUGUUGAACAUUCGUAUUAUUUGGAGGACUUGCAAUUAGCUCAUAUAGUCAACUAGCUAUUCCAGUCCUCUGGAAGAGUUAGUUGGCUGCUUGAGGUUAUUCUAUACUAGUAGCAUGCCUUUUUUGUGCACGGUCAAGAGUAGAUCGAGAAAGCAGUUGUUUUUAAGGGCAAAACAAUUGUUCUUGUUCCUUGAAAAAGUUGGUCAAAACAUUUUCCCAACCAAUUUUUUUAUUUAAACAGUAAGAUAAAGGGCAACAAGGACUGUUUAAUGCCAUUUCUACUUGGUAGAAAAACAAUUCAAUGCUAAUUUUUAUCCAAGAUAUUCAAAGCUUUGGUGUUAUUGGCAAAGAGAGUACCCACAAGAGUGGUUGUGACAUGUACAUGCAAUACUGUUUGCAAUGAUUAUGCUAUUAUUAUGAUAAAAAUCGUGCAAAGUACGGCGUUAAAAUGGGCUUUCUCCUUGUACAUAGCACAAUACAUAAGUGAUUGUGAUCAUAAAUGUAUUGAAUUACAUAAAAUAUGAUUGUGGAUAAAUAUUUGGUAAUUUUGGGGAGGGGUGAGUGUAGGGGGGGGGGGGAGGGAGGGAGCAUAUUAAUGCCGGUGCAUACUUUGUCUGAUUGCUAUGAAAAUGUGAUAUUAUCAAGCAUUGGCUGAUUCAUGUUCGCACCAAGUAUGCCAGUGUCAUGGUCUCACUUAUCAGGUGUGCGCACUUCUCCAAAAGGGACAUUUAACUUCAAUACGCACGUGCAAAAUUGUGCUGCGGCUGUACAUUAUCGCCAACCUUAUUGCGUGUGCUCACUGCACUGUGUUUGUGAAGAAGUGAGCACAUUAUAAGUAAGACUGUGACACUGGCUAAGCUAUGAAUUGCUACCGAGAUAAUUGCCUACUUUUGCGUCAUUUCGUCUAUGUUAAUUUAAGUAUUUGUUUACAAUAUCAUUUAUAGAUUAAACUCAUUAAAGAGACACUGCAGCCUGGCAAAUGCGCAAUUGGGCUACAAAAUGCAUUUUGAGUCGAAUGGUGUUAAGUGCUUGGGAUAUAAACAACUACACAAACAUCCAUUGAAAAUCACCUGGGGGGGGGGCACUUUUGCAACCCUCAAAAUAUGUGUGUUCAGUGCUGGUUGAGAUUCCAGCUGUAAACGUUUCACCCUCUGCGCACAUCAACCGGAUGUUUCAAGCAAGAUAUCGUAAACAAUGCAAAACAUGACAUUUUCAAGGAUUUCAGGGAACAAUAAUUUAUGGAAUUUUGAGGAAACAUUUUUGCUAUUUUGUUUGGUAGAAUACUAUUGUUUUAUAUUAAAGAAAAUGCUUUCAUACAAAUAAAAAAAUUAUACAAA